GCAGUCGAACGAGAACGGAUUAUAGCUUGCUAUAAUUGUCAGCUAAGUGGCGCACGGGUGAGUAAUGUAUAGGUAAUAUGCCUCUUACUAAGGGAUAACAAAUGGAAACGUUUGCUAAUACCUUAUACUCCUUAUUAACAGAAGUCAAUAAGGGAAAGAUUUAUUGGUAAGAGAUUAGCCUGUAUUGUAUCAGUUAGUUGGUGGGGUAAUGGCUUACCAAGACUAUGACACAUAACUGGUUUGAGAGGAUGAUCAGUCACACUGGAACUGAGACACGGUCCAGACUCCUACGGGAGGCAGCAGUGGGGAAUAUUGCACAAUGGACGAAAGUCUGAUGCAGCAACGCCGCGUGGAGGAUGACACAUUUCGGUGCGUAAACUCCUUUUAUAUGAGAAGAUAAUGACGGUAUUAUAUGGAUAAGCACCGGCUAACUCCGUGCCAGCAGCCGCGGUAAUACGGGGGGUGCAAGCGUUACUCGGAAUCACUGGGCGUAAAGAGCAUGUAGGCGGAUUAAUAAGUUUGAAGUGAAAUCCUAUAGCUUAACUAUAGAACUGCUUUGAAAACUGUUAAUCUAGAAUGUGGGAGAGGUAGAUGGAAUUUCUGGUGUAGGGGUAAAAUCCGUAGAGAUCAGAAGGAAUACCGAUUGCGAAGGCGAUCUACUGGAACAUUAUUGACGCUGAGAUGCGAAAGCGU
RNAcentral lists this ribosomal RNA (693 nucleotides) under uncultured bacterium. RNAcentral's name for it is "bacterial SSU rRNA". It matches the Rfam family "Bacterial small subunit ribosomal RNA", at positions 57 to 762 of the family's 1533-position model. The record is from RNAcentral.